Molecule: long non-coding RNA, 362 nt
Organism: Sinocyclocheilus grahami
Lineage: Eukaryota; Metazoa; Chordata; Actinopteri; Cypriniformes; Cyprinidae
Exons: 3
Source: RefSeq, a predicted model, not a curated record
CUUUCAUAAACAUUAAAAAUCUUAAUCAACCUCAAACUUUUGAACAGUAUAUGUGCUCAUUUCUGUUUCAGCUCCGAAUCAAAACUGAGAGUGGACGAUCCUCUGCUGUUGACAAGAGGGUUUGAGAGAGCAAAGCAGAAACUACUGCAAGUACUUCAGGAUGACAUCUCUACGAAUCUACAGAACAUCCUGCGCUACGAUGAGGAUCAUGGACAAAAUGAGGACUCAAUGGAUGAAGAAACUUUCCUCAAAGUGCACAUAGAUGUCAUUCAGUGCCUGAAUUGUGCUAUUUUAGAAGCUGAAACAGUUGGUCUGACUUUGAUGCACGCCGUACAAAUACUCUGUAGUGAAGAGCUGCAUGA